UACGUAGGGACCAAGCGUUGUUCGGAUUUACUGGGCGUAAAGGGCGCGUAGGCGGCAUGACAAGUCACUUGUGAAAUCUCCGGGCUUAACUCGGAACGGUCAAGUGAUACUGUCGCGCUAGAGUGCGGAAGGGGCGAUCAGAAUUCUUGGUGUAGCGGUGAAAUGCGUAGAUAUCAAGAGGAAUACCUGAGGUGAAGACGGGUUGCUAGGCCGACACUGACGCUGAAGCGCGAAAGCCAGGGGAGCAAACGGG
This 253-nucleotide ribosomal RNA is filed under the name uncultured bacterium. RNAcentral describes it as "partial 16S ribosomal RNA". It matches the Rfam family "Bacterial small subunit ribosomal RNA", at positions 524 to 776 of the family's 1533-position model. The record is from RNAcentral.